UACGGAGGAUCCGAGCGUUAUCCGGAUUUAUUGGGUUUAAAGGGAGCGUAGGCGGGUUGUUAAGUCAGUUGUGAAAGUUUGCGGCUCAACCGUAAAAUUGCAGUUGAUACUGGCAUCCUUGAGUACAGUAGAGGUAGGCGGAAUUCGUGGUGUAGCGGUGAAAUGCUUAGAUAUCCCGAAGAACUCCGAUUCGAAGGCAGCCUGCUGGACUGUAACUGACGCUGAUGCUCGAAGGUGUGGGUAUCAAACAGG
Molecule: ribosomal RNA, 252 nt
Filed under: uncultured bacterium
Lineage: Bacteria
Description: partial 16S ribosomal RNA
Rfam family: Bacterial small subunit ribosomal RNA
Source: RNAcentral